GGGAUGGGCUGCAGCUACACAUGCAAGUCGAGCGGAUGAGAAGAGCUUGCUCUUCGAUUCAGCGGCGGACGGGUGAGUAAUGCCUAGGAAUCUGCCUGGUAGUGGGGGACAACGUUUCGAAAGGAACGCUAAUACCGCAUACGUCCUACGGGAGAAAGCAGGGGACCUUCGGGCCUUGCGCUAUCAGAUGAGCCUAGGUCGGAUUAGCUAGUUGGUGGGGUAAUGGCUCACCAAGGCGACGAUCCGUAACUGGUCUGAGAGGAUGAUCAGUCACACUGGAACUGAGACACGGUCCAGACUCCUACGGGAGGCAGCAGUGGGGAAUAUUGGACAAUGGGCGAAAGCCUGAUCCAGCCAUGCCGCGUGUGUGAAGAAGGUCUUCGGAUUGUAAAGCACUUUAAGUUGGGAGGAAGGGCAGUAAGCGAAUACCUUGCUGUUUUGACGUUACCGACAGAAUAAGCACCGGCUAACUCUGUGCCAGCAGCCGCGGUAAUACAGAGGGUGCAAGCGUUAAUCGGAAUUACUGGGCGUAAAGCGCGCGUAGGUGGUUUUGUUAAGUUGAAUGUGAAAGCCCCGGGCUCAACCUGGGAACUGCAUCCAAAACUGGCAAGCUAGAGUACGGGAGAGAGGGGUGGAA
Molecule: ribosomal RNA, 637 nt
Filed under: Pseudomonas putida
Lineage: Bacteria; Pseudomonadati; Pseudomonadota; Gammaproteobacteria; Pseudomonadales; Pseudomonadaceae
Description: bacterial SSU rRNA
Rfam family: Bacterial small subunit ribosomal RNA
Source: RNAcentral